RNAcentral lists this ribosomal RNA (253 nucleotides) under uncultured bacterium. Its description in RNAcentral is "partial 16S ribosomal RNA". It matches the Rfam family "Bacterial small subunit ribosomal RNA", at positions 524 to 776 of the family's 1533-position model. The record is from RNAcentral.
UACGAAGGGGGCUAGCGUUGCUCGGAAUGACUGGGCGUAAAGGGCGCGUAGGCGGAUGACACAGUCAGAUGUGAAAUUCCCGGGCUUAACCUGGGGGCUGCAUUUGAGACGUGCUGUCUAGAGUGAGGAAGAGGGUUGUGGAAUUCCCAGUGUAGUGGUGAAAUACGUAGAGAUUGGGAAGAACACCAGUGGCGAAGGCGGCUAUCUGGACAGUUUCUGACGCUAAGACGCGAAAGCGUGGGGAGCAAACAGG